CUUGGCGGUGUUUUAGACCUCUCAGGGGAACCUGUCUCAUAAUCGACAAUCCACGCUAUACCUUACUCUACUUUGCUUUUACAGUUUGUAUACCGUCGUCGCCAGGUAACUUUUAAAAACUUAGAAGUUAGCAAAAAAACUAAUUAAGUUUACACGUCAAAUCAAGGUGCAGCUAAUAUUAGAGUGAAGAUGGGUUACAAUUGUAAAAUUAUAAUCACAAAGUAAUUAUAAUAAUAUAUAAUUAAUUAU
RNAcentral lists this ribosomal RNA (249 nucleotides) under Mexacanthina angelica. RNAcentral describes it as "partial 12S ribosomal RNA". The record is from RNAcentral. Lineage: Eukaryota; Metazoa; Mollusca; Gastropoda; Neogastropoda; Muricidae.